Molecule: ribosomal RNA, 2090 nt
Filed under: Halomonas sp. KX33721
Lineage: Bacteria; Pseudomonadati; Pseudomonadota; Gammaproteobacteria; Oceanospirillales; Halomonadaceae
Description: bacterial LSU rRNA
Rfam family: Bacterial large subunit ribosomal RNA
Source: RNAcentral
UCCCCGAAAUCUAUUUAGGUAGAGCCUCGGACGAAUACUUACGGGGGUAGAGCACUGUUAAGGCUAGGGGGGUCAUCCCGACUUACCAACCCUUUGCAAACUCCGAAUACCGUAAAGUAAUAUCCGGGAGACACACGGCGGGUGCUAACGUCCGUCGUGAAGAGGGAAACAACCCAGACCGCCAGCUAAGGUCCCAAAGUCAUAGUUAAGUGGGAAACGAUGUGGAAAGGCCCAGACAGCCAGGAGGUUGGCUUAGAAGCAGCCAUCCUUUAAAGAAAGCGUAAUAGCUCACUGGUCGAGUCGGUCUGCGCGGAAGAUGUAACGGGGCUAAACUAUGCACCGAAGCUGCGGAUUCAUCUUAGGAUGAGUGGUAGGGGAGCGUUCUGUAAGCGGUUGAAGGUGUACCGGGAGGUAUGCUGGACGUAUCAGAAGUGCGAAUGCUGACAUGAGUAACGAUAAUGCGGGUGAAAAACCCGCACGCCGGAAGACCAAGGGUUCCUAUCCCAUGUUAAUCAGGGUAGGGUAAGUCGACCCCUAAGGCGAGGCCGAAAGGCGUAGUCGAUGGGAAACGGAUUAAUAUUUCCGUACUUGGUAUAAUUGCGAUGGGGGGACGGAGAAGGCUAAGCAAGCAUGGCGAUGGUUGUCCAUGUGAAAGUGAGUAGGCUAGUGACUUAGGUAAAUCCGGGUUGCUGUUAGGCUGAGACACGAGACGAGCACCCAAGGGUGUGAAGUUGCUGAUGCCAUACUUCCAGGAAAAGCCUCUAAGCUUCAGAUUAUACCGAAUCGUACCCCAAACCGACACAGGUGGUCAGGUAGAGAAUACUAAGGCGCUUGAGAGAACUCGGGUGAAGGAACUAGGCAAAAUCGUACCGUAACUUCGGGAGAAGGUACGCUCCUAUCUGUGAUGAGACUUGCUCUCUAAGCGGACGGGAGCCGCAGUGACCAGGUGGCUGGGACUGUUUAUUAAAAACACAGCACUGUGCAAAAUCGCAAGAUGACGUAUACGGUGUGACACCUGCCCGGUGCCGGAAGGUUAAUUGAUGGGGUUAGUUUUCGGACGAAGCUCUUGAUCGAAGCCCCGGUAAACGGCGGCCGUAACUAUAACGGUCCUAAGGUAGCGAAAUUCCUUGUCGGGUAAGUUCCGACCUGCACGAAUGGUGUAACCAUGGCCACGCUGUCUCCACCCGAGACUCAGUGAAAUUGAAAUCGCAGUGAAGAUGCUGUGUACCCGCGGCUAGACGGAAAGACCCCGUGAACCUUUACUACAGCUUGGCACUGAACAUUGAACCUACAUGUGUAGGAUAGGUGGGAGACUUUGAAGCAGCGACGCUAGUUGUUGUGGAGUCGUCCUUGAAAUACCACCCUUGUAGUUUUGAUGUUCUAACGUUGGCCCCUGAAUCGGGGUUACGGACAGUGCCUGGUGGGUAGUUUGACUGGGGCGGUCUCCUCCCAAAGAGUAACGGAGGAGCACGAAGGUUGGCUAAGUACGGUCGGACAUCGUACGGUUAGUGUAAUGGUAGAAGCCAGCUUAACUGCGAGACAGACACGUCGAGCAGGUACGAAAGUAGGUCAUAGUGAUCCGGUGGUUCUGAAUGGAAGGGCCAUCGCUCAACGGAUAAAAGGUACUCCGGGGAUAACAGGCUGAUACCGCCCAAGAGUUCAUAUCGACGGCGGUGUUUGGCACCUCGAUGUCGGCUCAUCACAUCCUGGGGCUGAAGUCGGUCCCAAGGGUAUGGCUGUUCGCCAUUUAAAGUGGUACGCGAGCUGGGUUUAGAACGUCGUGAGACAGUUCGGUCCCUAUCUGCCGUGGGCGUUUGAGAAUUGAGAGGGGUUGCUCCUAGUACGAGAGGACCGGAGUGAACGAACCGCUGGUGUUCGGGUUGUCAUGCCAAUGGCAUUGCCCGGUAGCUACGUUCGGAACUGAUAAGCGCUGAAAGCAUCUAAGCGCGAAGCAGGCCUCGAGAUGAUUUCUCACUAGACUUUUAAAGUCUCUGAAGGGCCGUUGAAGACUACAACGUUGAUAGGCAAGAUGUGGAAGUGGUGUGAGCCAUUAAGCUAACUUGUACUAAUUACCCGUGAGGCUUAACCAU